RNAcentral lists this ribosomal RNA (177 nucleotides) under uncultured eukaryote. RNAcentral describes it as "partial 18S ribosomal RNA". It matches the Rfam family "Eukaryotic small subunit ribosomal RNA", at positions 1299 to 1458 of the family's 1831-position model. The record is from RNAcentral.
UGGUGGAGUGAUUUGUUUGGUUGAUUCCGUGAACGAACGAGAUCUCAGCCUCUAAAUAGGGGGCGUGUCGACUACAGACGAGUCGCCUGCCUACGGGUUUGGCGCCCGCCUAGACGACGCUUACCUUCUUAGAGGAACGUCGUGUGUCUGUUAACACGAUGGAGCGAGCCAAUAACA